RNAcentral lists this ribosomal RNA (402 nucleotides) under uncultured bacterium. RNAcentral's name for it is "bacterial SSU rRNA". It matches the Rfam family "Bacterial small subunit ribosomal RNA", at positions 355 to 774 of the family's 1533-position model. The record is from RNAcentral.
UGGGGAAUCUUGCACAAUGGGGGCAACCCUGAUGCAGCGACGCCGCGUGAGCGAUGAAGCCCUUCGGGGCGUAAAGCUCUUUCGACCGGAACGAUAAUGACGGUACCGGGAGAAGAAGCUGCGGCUAACUACGUGCCAGCAGCCGCGGUAAUACGUAGGCAGCAAGCGUUGUUCGGAGUUACUGGGCGUAAAGAGUGCGUAGGCGGUUUUCUAAGUUCGGUGUGAAAUCUCCCGGCUUAACUGGGAGGGUGCGCCGAAGACUGGGAAGCUGGAGUGUGGGAAAGGCAGGCGGAAUUCCUGGUGUAGCGGUGAAAUGCGUAGAUAUCGGGAGGAACACCGGCGGUGUAGACGGCUUGCUAGACCAUAACUGACGCUGAGGCACGAAAGCGUGGGUAGCAAACA